AUUGAACGCUGGCGGCAUGCCUUACACAUGCAAGUCGAACGGUAACAGGUCUUCGGAUGCUGACGAGUGGCGAACGGGUGAGUAAUACAUCGGAACGUGCCUAGUAGUGGGGGAUAACUACUCGAAAGAGUGGCUAAUACCGCAUGAGAUCUACGGAUGAAAGCAGGGGAUCGCAAGACCUUGUGCUACUAGAGCGGCCGAUGGCAGAUUAGGUAGUUGGUGGGAUAAAAGCUUACCAAGCCGACGAUCUGUAGCUGGUCUGAGCGGACGAUCAGCCCAACUGGGACGGAGACACGGCCCAGACUCCUACGGGAGGCAGCAGUGGGGAAUGUUGGACAAUGGGCGCAAGCCUGAUCCAGCAAUGCCGCGUGCAGGAUGAGGGCCUUCGGGUUGUAAACUGCUUUUGUACGGAACGAAAAGCCCUGGGUUAAUACCCUGGGGUCAUGACGGUACCGUAAGAAUAAGCACCGGCUAACUACGUGCCAGCCGCCGCGGUAA
RNAcentral lists this ribosomal RNA (498 nucleotides) under uncultured bacterium. RNAcentral's name for it is "partial 16S ribosomal RNA". It matches the Rfam family "Bacterial small subunit ribosomal RNA", at positions 30 to 523 of the family's 1533-position model. The record is from RNAcentral.